RNAcentral lists this long non-coding RNA (1784 nucleotides) under Anolis carolinensis (green anole). RNAcentral's name for it is "lncRNA (ENSACAG00000037236.1)". The record is from RNAcentral. Lineage: Eukaryota; Metazoa; Chordata; Lepidosauria; Squamata; Anolidae.
AUGCCUUGCUUCUCCCUCGCCCUGCGCACACCUUUCUCUCUUUCUUCCUCACUCAGUGCAUGCCUUUCUCUCCUCUUUCACCUCAUGUGUGCUUUUCUCUUCUCCCUCGCCCUGUGCACGCCUUUCUCUGCUUCUCCCUUGCCCUACGCAUCUCUUUCUGCUUCUUCGUCACUCCGCGCACAUCUUUCUUUGUUUCUCCCUCACCUCCCCUUCCUACCCAGUCUUUACUAUCCCCAGCCCCUCUCUCCCACUUUUCCAUCUCCCUUUCCAUCCCCGCCUUUCCCAGGUUCCAGCCUCUCUUUCGCAUUUCAGUCUUGCCUUUGUCCCACAUCAGUUUCCCACUUUCCCAGUCCCUCUUUCUCACCCCAAUCCUUUCCACUUCUUCACUUGCCCUGUCCCUCUUUCUCACCCCAAUUUCUCCAGGUUUUCCCAAUCUUCCCCCUUCAUUCUAGACUGGGGUCUUUUCCACUUUUCUAGCCCUCCUUUCCAUCCCAAUCUUUCCCAAUUUCCAGCCCCAUUUCACACCUCAGUCGUUCCAUCUUCUCCAGUUGCCCCCUUCCCACCCCAAUCUGUCCUAGUUUUCUAGCUACCCCUUUUCCACCUCAUUUUCCCACUUUUCAACCACUUCUUCCAACAUUUUCCCAUUUCCAGUCCUUUUUUCCAACCCCCUUCCCAAGCUAGUCUUUCCCAGUUUUCCUUAUUAAUAUACACACAGCAUUUCCCCCAAAAUUUGUAUCAUAGUUAAAAUAAACUAUGGUGAUUAUUGCAUUGUUGUUGUUGUUGUUGUUAUUGUUGUUAUAUUUAUUAUUUUAUUCUAUAUAUUGUGGUUACAUGUAUUAUUUUACCCUGUUAUUGUUAUUAAAUUAAUUAUUUUACUCUAGCCCCUGGUGGCACAGCAGGUUAAACCACUGAGCUGCUGAACUUGCUGACUGAAAGAUCAGCUAUUCGAAUACAGGGAGUGGGGUGAGCUCCCACUGUUAGCCCCAGCUUCUGCCAAUCUAGCAGUUUGUUUAUUAUUUUACUGUUAUUACUAUUGUUAUUACAUUUAUUAUUUUACUCUAUUAUUAUUAUUUCAUUACUAGCUGUGUUCGGCCACGCGUUGCUGUGGCUUAUGGGAAUCAUUUGUUGACAAGUAGAAUAGUAGUGGAUAGCCUUGCAGGCUCAAAAGCCUGGCUGUUUUCUUCUUAUGGGAAUCCUUGUUUGGUGAACUGGAAUACAAUGGAAUAGGCUUGCUGCUUGGAAGGCUGGGUACUUGCGUUCUAGGGGAAUCGUUUUUUGGGCUGCUAGAAUUGCAAUGAAUAGCCUCGCUGCUUCAAAGCCUGGCUGCUUGCUACCUAGCAGAAUCUUUGGUUGGUCAGCUUCAAUAGUACAGAGUAGUAUCACUGCUUCAAAGCCUGGCUACCUUCUACCAAGGAUAAUCCUUUGUUGGUUUGGUUGAAUUGGACUGAAUAGCCCUGCAGCUUCAAUGCCUGUCUGUGUUAUACUUAGGGGAAUCCUUGUUUGGUGAGCUGGAGUAGCACCCUCAAUCAAAGAGUUGCUUUGAAGCCUAGCUACUUCCUUUGUAGGGGAAUCUUUGUUUGGCCAGCUUGAAUUGCACUUAAUAGUCUUGCAGUUUAAAAGACUGGCCACUUUCUACAUAGGGGCUUCCUUCAUUGGCCAGGUUGAAUGGGAUGGAGUAGCCUUGUGGCUUCAAAGCCUGGGGAUUUUCUACCUAGGGGAAAUCUUGGUUGGCCAGGUUGAACAGCACUGAACAGCCUUGCUGCUUGCAAGCCUGGCUGCUUUCU